Long non-coding RNA from Diorhabda sublineata, 2380 nucleotides. RefSeq lists it as uncharacterized. NCBI's taxonomy places the organism in Eukaryota, Metazoa, Arthropoda, Insecta, Coleoptera, Chrysomelidae. The record is from RefSeq and is a predicted model, not a curated record. The transcript has 3 exons.
GACCUUAUUAAAGGAAUAGAAGAAGAAUUUAUAAUCACGUUCAUUGCUUAUCAUAUUUUUUUCUACAAAUGACUGUUGCUUAAUACUUUAUUUUUGAUAUAAUCCAUGCAGAAUGGAUAUGGAGCAAACAGUAAUUAAGAAACGAAAUCGAGAUUCACGAUGAUUUUAUUUGGAAUACGAAUAUUUAACAAGAAUUGAGUAAUGGAAUUUCUAGUGUCGCAUUUCAAAAUGUAAAUACAAUUAGUAUGCAUCCUAUUAAACAAGAAAUAAGUGACGAUCUAAACACAGCUCAAGUAUUUGAAGACUUUAUCGUGGCCGUAAAAACAGAGGAAUGCCCCAAUAGGGUUGAAAGCCCCAAUAUUCUAAACAAAUUUAAAUAGUGCAGCAUAAAAACUGAAAAGGGAACUAAAUCACGAGUGUUGUUAAAAAAUAUCUCAAUAGAAUUGGUGAGAUUAUAAUCUGUGAGUUGUGGAAAUUUAGACACAAAGCAAAUAGAAUUCAUUUAGCACUUUUCUACAAUUCAUUAUAUGAAAAAGAAAUUUUCCCAGACGAAUAAAUAUUAUAGAAAAGGGGAAACAACAGACAUUGCUGUAGACCAGGAUGUGAAAGAUGAAAUAAUUGAAGAUGGUUGGAAAAAGGAAGAAUAUAUUAGAUCUGCUGAUAAUUUCAACUUGACUUUGGAUGAAAGUCAAAAGUUGAAAAGAUAUGAUUCAAAAUCUAGAAAAAAUUUAUUUAAUUGUGAAUUUGUAAGCUGAUAGACAUAUGCGUACUCACACAGGAGAAAAGCUAUUCAAAUGCGAAAACUGCUCAAACACUUUUUCAGAUAGGAGUAAUUUGAAGAGACAUUUGCAUAGUCAUGCAGGAGAAAAUAAUUCAAACAUAAAAUUUGGUGGAAAUCUAUCAAAAGUAAAUAUUCUUUGAAAAAAUGUGUGGAUACAUAGUGGAAAACCAUUAAAAUGAAACUAUUUCAUGAAAGAAACUCAUUAAAGUUAGAUUUGUGUUUAAAAGAUGUUAAUUGUUUGUAAAGUGUUUCUUAUUUAUUAUUUUAUUUCAGAAAGUUUUAUUUACAAAUCGAAUUUAUACCUAAAGUAUUUUAAUUUAUUUUUUCUUUUCUUUUUUUUAUCGCUUUCUGAGAAAUAUUUUAGAUAAUAGUCAUUUGAACAUCCUUUCUGUUUCUAAUCACUUUCUAAUGAAAUCAUAACGCCAAAAUAGUGAUUUUGAAAAAGCAGUCAGUCAGUACAUACUGUUCAAGUUAAAUAUUUGUAAUUAUCUUUGACAAUAAAAUUCUAUUUAUUAAAUUAUCAAAUCUAUAUUAAUUUAUUCUGUUAAUGUCUUCGACUUCAUUUUGAAACCCUUCAAAAGUUGAUGAUUGAAAACAAUUUUGCAAAUAAAAUAGUUCAUACGAGGGUCGCUACUUAAGUUUUAAGAUAUGGUGUGAACACUAAUGUGAAAUGUCAAAUCUGACAAAAAUGCAACCGAAAGAGGUAACAAAGAGUGUAAAGGGUACUGUUUAGAAAAGCUGUGAAAAAUAUCAGCUCUGUAACUUGUAAAUAAAAUUUUUUAAAGCGAAAUUCCGGUUUAAAUUUGAAAUACCCUCGUAUAACAAUAAAUGAAGAAUGAUAUUUCACCCUUAAGGGAGCGUUCACGUAUUAUGUAACGCAAUGUUUUAAGAUCCUUAUCCCCAUACCCUUAUGAUAAAAAAAUAAACCAUGGCACAUGCGUUUAUAUCUUAAAUGAUUAUUUUCUUUUGUUGUGUUUUGUGUUUUUUAUUAUGGAUCCGAUAGAAUAAAAAAAAUCUUUGUUAGUUUCUAUAAUAUCGUCGUUAAAUACCGAUUUACGAACAAAAACAUCACGAAAACAAAAAGCAGUUCACACGUCAAAAAGAAUGACAAAAUUUUUAGGUUAGCAUCGUUAAAUUUUUGAAUGGGGUGUAGAAUUUGUUAAGAAUGUCAAUCACAGAACAACAUUGACAUUAUAUGACAUGACAUUUAGACAGCCAACUGAAGUUCCCGUUUCCGCGCCAUCUCUGUAUUUUUUAGCUGUACUAAUCGUAUAUGGAAAUAAUAGUUCCUUUCAUGCUUUUUUGGCGGCAUAUAGUAUGCCGUCAAAAGCUUAAAGGAAACUGUUGUUUCAUAUAUGUUUAGUAUUGCUCAUCCACCAAGAGAUGGCGCUGAAACGGAAACUCGAGUUGACAAUCUAAAGGUGGUGGUUGAUCUCUGGUUCAUAUAAAGGUUAUCUAUGUCUUUCGUUACAAGUGUUAAGUUGUAAAGAAGCAUUUUUGUUUAUUUAAUGAUACAGUUAUUUGGAUACCUGAAAUGGGUAUGCAAAAGUGUUUAGUGUCAAUUUGUGGCCAAGCAACUAAAACGCUACUCUGUUGUUG